Molecule: non-coding RNA, 951 nt
Filed under: Harttiella pilosa
Lineage: Eukaryota; Metazoa; Chordata; Actinopteri; Siluriformes; Loricariidae
Description: partial 12S ribosomal RNA
Rfam family: Bacterial small subunit ribosomal RNA
Source: RNAcentral
AGCUUGGUCCUGACUUUAUUAUAAGCUCUAACCCAACUUACACAUGCAAGUCUCCGCGCCCCCGUUGAAAAUGCCCUCAAUUCCCCGCCCGGGGAUAAGGAGCUGGCAUCAGGCACAAUAUAUUAGCCCAAGACGCCUUGCUUAGCCACACCCCCAAGGGAACUCAGCAGUGAUAGAUAUUAAGCCAUAAGUGAAAACUUGACUUAGUUAAGGUUAUUUAGGGUUGGUAAAGUUCGUGCCAGCCACCGCGGUUAUACGAAAGACCCUAGUUUAUAAGCACGGCGUAAAGGGUGGUUAAGGGUUAUAUAAAAUAAGGCCAAAGACCUCCUAAGCCGUUAUACGCUAUAUGAAGGCACGAAGCCCAAACACGAAGGUAGCCUUAAUAAACUACACCUGACCCCACGAAAGCUGAGAAACAAACUGGGAUUAGAUACCCCACUAUGCUCAGCCCUAAACCUAGAUGAGUAUAUCACGAAACCAUCCGCCAGGGGACUACAAGCACAGCUUAAAACCCAAAGGACUUGGCGGCGCCUCAGACCCCCCUAGAGGAGCCUGUUCUAGAACCGAUAACCCCCGUUAAACCUCACCACCCCUUGCCUUACCGCCUAUAUACCGCCGUCGUCAGCUUACCCUAUGAAGGCCCAACAGUAAGCAAAAUGAGUUCAACCCAAUACGUCAGGUCGAGGUGUAGCACAUGAGGUGGGAAGAAAUGGGCUACAUUUUCUAUUACAGAAUAUUACGAAUAGUGCCCUGAAAACAGCACCUGAAGGAGGAUUUAGUAGUAAAAAGCAAGCAGAGAGUCCUUUUGAAUUAGGCUCUGAGGCACGCACACACCGCCCGUCACUCUCCCUUAUCUUAAUAUAAACUAAUUAUACUUAAUUAAUAAUACAAAACUACGGGGAGGCAAGUCGUAACAUGGUAAGUGUACUGGAAAGUGCACUUGGAACAAUC